Molecule: ribosomal RNA, 492 nt
Filed under: uncultured bacterium
Lineage: Bacteria
Description: partial 16S ribosomal RNA
Rfam family: Bacterial small subunit ribosomal RNA
Source: RNAcentral
AUUGAACGCUGGCGGCAUGCUUUACACAUGCAAGUCGAACGGUAACAGGCCUUCGGGUGCUGACGAGUGGCGAACGGGUGAGUAAUGCAUCGGAACGUGCCCAGAGGUGGGGGAUAACGCAGCGAAAGCUGUGCUAAUACCGCAUGUGAUCUGAGGAUGAAAGCGGGGGACCAGGCAGCAAUGUUUGGCCUCGCGCCUUUGGAGCGGCCGAUGUCAGAUUAGGUAGUUGGUGGGGUAAAGGCCUACCAAGCCGACGAUCUGUAGCUGGUCUGAGAGGACGACCAGCCACACUGGGACUGAGACACGGCCCAGACUCCUACGGGAGGCAGCAGUGGGGAAUUUUGGACAAUGGGCGCAAGCCUGAUCCAGCAAUGCCGCGUGCGGGAAGAAGGCCUUCGGGUUGUAAACCGCUUUUGUACGGAACGAAAAUGCUCUGGCUAAUACCUGGGGCUGAUGACGGUACCGUAAGAAUAAGCACCGGCUAACUACGUG